AAAAUAAUUAAUAAAAUAUAAAUAAAACAAAUUUUUCUCUUUCUCUCUCAUCUUUCCUCUCUCCUAUCUCCAGCUCCAGAACACUAGCUCCAAAACGCUAGCUCUUAUUUAUCGCUCUUCUUUCCUCAGCAUAACUCCAUAGCUCUUCAUAAAUCGAAUAACUGAAGACCUGAAGAACUGAGCUCCACAACUCAAAUUUUAUAAAGUCGAAUUUCUCAAAGAGAUGAAGAGCUGAAGAUACAGAGGUGGGGAUGGAAGAAAUCAAGAGCGGAAGCUGAAGAAAUCAAGUGUUGAGAUUCCUUUCAAUUCUAGUCAUCUGUACAACCGAUUUGUGAAGGUAAGAACUGAUUCUCUAGUAAUCUGUAGAUCUGCAAAUAGUAAAUUGGUUUAAUGUUCAUUUUGUGUUUAGAAGAAAUUGAUUACUUUUGGGGUUCUUACAGCUGAAAUUUCAAAGUAGGGAAAGAAAGUGUCAAAAAUCUGUAGUCAAGCGCAGUUAGUAGGUUUCUUGCCUAACUUUGUGUAUGGAAGGAGGAAAUGUAUGUGGGAAAUCACAAAGUAUCUUUCAGUUGCCAGGAAAGUGAAUAAUAUGAGUGCAUUAGUGCAAAAAAUGUAAAGGGUGUAUCAGUGUAGAUCCAUAGGUAAAUGUUUGAAAUGUUGUUUUGUUGGAGAAAGAAGGAAAAAGAGGAACAGAGAUCGAAACAAGUAGUAGUAUUAGAGAGAGAGAGAAACUAAAAGAGGUAUAUGUGGUUGCCAAUGAGUUGAUAGUGAGGGAGGAGUUGGCAAGAAAUAUUAAAGUACUAUAAUCAAGAUUGAUACUAAUAGCAUAGUUAAUAUACUAAUUUUAGCCUUUAUUAUAUUAGUAUAUGCAUAUUUUGUAUAGGCAUCUACUUUGAACAUCAAAAGACAAGUAGGCAUCUACUUUGAACAUCAAAAGUUGUAUUCUAAUUUUCUGUAACUGCUGGACUUCUUGCCUUUCUAUAUUGUUGCAAUCUGAACUUCUUAGCUCUUCUAUAUAACUGUCAAUAUCUUAUUUGUGUAGGGAAAUGGGAGUGAUCAAAUUUGAAGUGGAUGAUGACGAGUUUCCGAACUAUUGUAAAAGUUUGAAUACAUUAUAUUUGAUUUUGUGAAAUAUAUUCAUUGCUAGAAUAUAUUGAACUAUUGUAGUACUUUUUGAACUAUUGUGUACACAUUUAGAAUAUUGAUGUAUAAGUAUAGGUAUGUACACAACACAAACUAUAUAUUUUGAAGUUUAUGGGAAAUCUAUAAAAUUGAAUUACUUAUUAGCG
This 1286-nucleotide long non-coding RNA is filed under the name Solanum lycopersicum (tomato). RNAcentral describes it as "long non-coding RNA (SLYC_LNC000416)". The record is from RNAcentral. Lineage: Eukaryota; Viridiplantae; Streptophyta; Magnoliopsida; Solanales; Solanaceae.